AACGCGAAGAACCUUACCUGGUCUUGACAUCCACGGAAGUUUUCAGAGAUGAGAAUGUGCCUUCGGGAACCGUGAGACAGGUGCUGCAUGGCUGUCGUCAGCUCGUGUUGUGAAAUGUUGGGUUAAGUCCCGCAACGAGCGCAACCCUUAUCCUUUGUUGCCAGCGGUCCGGCCGGGAACUCAAAGGAGACUGCCAGUGAUAAACUGGAGGAAGGUGGGGAUGACGUCAAGUCAUCAUGGCCCUUACGACCAGGGCUACACACGUGCUACAAUGGCGCAUACAAAGAGAAGCGACCUCGCGAGAGCAAGCGGACCUCAUAAAGUGCGUCGUAGUCCGGAUUGGAGUCUGCAACUCGACUCCAUGAAGUCGGGAUCGCUAGUAAUCACAGAUCAGCAACGCUGCGGUGAAUACGUUCCCGGGUCUUGUACACACCG
Molecule: ribosomal RNA, 435 nt
Filed under: uncultured Escherichia sp.
Lineage: Bacteria; Pseudomonadati; Pseudomonadota; Gammaproteobacteria; Enterobacterales; Enterobacteriaceae
Description: bacterial SSU rRNA
Rfam family: Bacterial small subunit ribosomal RNA
Source: RNAcentral